UGCGUAGGCGGGUCUUUAAGUCAGGGGUGAAAUCCUGGAGCUCAACUCCAGAACUGCCUUUGAUACUGAAGAUCUUGAGUUCGGGAGAGGUGAGUGGAACUGCGAGUGUAGAGGUGAAAUUCGUAGAUAUUCGCAAGAACACCAGUGGCGAAGGCGGCUCACUGGCCCGAUACUGACGCUGAGGCACGAAAGCGUGGGGAGCAAACAGGAUUAGAUACCCUGGUAGUCCACGCCGUAAACCGAUGAAUGCCAGCCGUUAGUGGGUUUACUCACUAGUGGCGCAGCUAACGCUUUAAGCAUUCCGCCUGGGGAGUACGGUCGCAAGAUUAAA
Molecule: ribosomal RNA, 331 nt
Filed under: uncultured bacterium
Lineage: Bacteria
Description: bacterial SSU rRNA
Rfam family: Bacterial small subunit ribosomal RNA
Source: RNAcentral